GAUGAACGCUGGCGGCGUGCCUAAUACAUGCAAGUCGAGCGAACAGACGAGGAGCUUGCUCCUCUGACGUUAGCGGCGGACGGGUGAGUAAAACGUGGAUAACCUACCUAUAAGACUGGGAUAACUUCGGGAAACCGGAGCUAAUACCGGAUAAUAUAUUGAACCGCAUGGUUCAAUAGUGAAAGACGGUUUUGCUGUCACUUAUAGAUGGAUCCGCGCCGCAUUAGCUAGUUGGUAAGGUAACGGCUUACCAAGGCAACGAUGCGUAGCCGACCUGAGAGGGUGAUCGGCCACACUGGAACUGAGACACGGUCCAGACUCCUACGGGAGGCAGCAGUAGGGAAUCUUCCGCAAUGGGCGAAAGCCUGACGGAGCAACGCCGCGUGAGUGAUGAAGGUCUUCGGAUCGUAAAACUCUGCUAUUAGGGAAGAACAAAUGUGUAAGUAACUAUGCACGUCUUGACGGUACCUAAUCAGAAAGCCACGGCUAACUACGUG
This 497-nucleotide ribosomal RNA is filed under the name uncultured bacterium. RNAcentral describes it as "partial 16S ribosomal RNA". It matches the Rfam family "Bacterial small subunit ribosomal RNA", at positions 28 to 507 of the family's 1533-position model. The record is from RNAcentral.